GUCCUCGAGCAAAAUAAAAACUAACUCACUUUCGCAGGAAUCGCGAUUGCAUUUACCGUAUGCAAUAAGGCUUUAAACCCCUAGGUGGCCCUAGUGGACGAGUUUUGUCUCGUGGGGGUUUCCGGCCCAGAUACCCACAAACUGUUGUCUCUACCUAAUGAAUUUGUUUUAUUGCUUUAUAAAAUCUAAUUUUAAAUGCAUAAGUGCCAAAAAUUUUAAAAGCACACAAAGUUUUAAUUACUAAGUCAGCCCAAAUCCUAAAUCAGUAUGCAAUUUAAGUUGAAGUCAUUAAGUUUCUGUUAGAGAGUUGUAAGGCUAAUUUAUACUUGGGUGCUCGGUGAUGUCUGGACCUACACAAGCUAAGGCUUUAGAUUCUCCAAAAUACUGCUAAAACUAGUAGUUUCCAAGAAUUGGUCAGAUAAGACCUAAUCACUGAUUCAAAAUCAUCCUACCUUUCAGGAUUUCGAGAGUUGUGGAUGUUUACUUUAAUACCUCAUGGGCUUUAUCUGUAAUAUUCCAGUUUACUC
Molecule: long non-coding RNA, 527 nt
Filed under: Phoenix dactylifera (date palm)
Lineage: Eukaryota; Viridiplantae; Streptophyta; Magnoliopsida; Arecales; Arecaceae
Description: long non-coding RNA (PDAC_LNC020270)
Source: RNAcentral